GAGAAGGGAGACCCCAGGGCCGGGCCCAGAUCCCCCAGAGGGCCCCCAAGGGCCCUGACAUGAACUUUCUGUAUGUGUUUGUUCAGCUGCCAGCCUCUCUUCCGACUCAUCCUGAGGGAAAGUGCCAGCCCAAUGAAGACAUGUGUAAGGCUGAGAUGGAACAGAAAUGGUAGAUGAACCAAUGACAUUUCAAAUAGGGCGGCAAAGCUCCCAGAAACAACAAA
This is a long non-coding RNA of Ornithorhynchus anatinus (platypus), 224 nucleotides long. RefSeq lists it as uncharacterized. NCBI's taxonomy places the organism in Eukaryota, Metazoa, Chordata, Mammalia, Monotremata, Ornithorhynchidae. The transcript has 2 exons. The record is from RefSeq and is a predicted model, not a curated record.